This is a non-coding RNA of Pelodiscus sinensis (Chinese soft-shelled turtle), 3270 nucleotides long. NCBI's taxonomy places the organism in Eukaryota, Metazoa, Chordata, Testudines, Trionychidae. The record is from RefSeq and is a predicted model, not a curated record.
ACUGUUUUUUUUCCACUGCAUGCUAACAAAAUACAUCUUUAGAAAUAUGCUAGCUACCUUGGGCUUUUAAAAUGAUAGAUCCCAAAAGACAGACAAAUUGAAUAUGGAAGGAUUAGACUAUGAGAUUUACUUCUGCAGCAUUGCAUCCAAGCAAUUGUCAUUUUUCGAGUAGAUAUGUCAGAUUGCAUAGAGUUGGCUGAAAUUCAAAGUUUCUGUUUUGACAUUUCAGGUUUUGAGCAAGACCAAAAAUGCACAAAGGGGAGAAUUUUAUAAAAUGUUUGUGUCAAUUUAACGGGCUCUUAUUAAGUUUCAUAUAAAACUUAAGAGAUCACGCAUCCCUCCCUCCCAUACUGUGUGCACACAGGUAGAGAUGGCCCCAUAAUGACAUUGCCAUUUCUUUCCCUUGAUGUAGCAGCUGCUUACAUCUAUGUUGAUGCCAUCUUAAGGUAUUUAAGCGGAUCCCUUCUGCUAGAUGCUGGCAUCAGUAGAAAGGGCUGGGUUCAGUUUUCUAAGAUCGUCCUUAAAACCUUAACAACCGGCUUUAGUCGCCUCCCAGAAAUCUAUGAAUCGAUAUCUAUCACCCAGGGUGUGUCAUAUUAUUAAUUUAGAGGGAAUAAAUCAGCCAAAGGUAUUAACCAAGUCACUGUCCAACAUUUAACAGUGUUAAACAAGGCCCAGAGCCUGGUAUACAGAGACCUUGCCUGCUUAAUACCAGGGUGAACAUAUUAUCAAAUAUCCUUUUCUCCUUUUAUUAAAUGCAAGGAAAAAUAGUUAAACAAUUUGAAAUGUAAAGAAUGAAAUAAGGCUUUCAUUUUAAUAGCAUCCCUUGUUCCCUUUCCCUUUAUCUGGGGAGAAUUUUUAGAAGGAAACCUCUCUGGUUUGGCAGUCACUGGGAGGUCUCAAAAAGGGUAAUAACUGUUUUUUUGCGGGGGCAGGAAGAGGAGUUAGUUGAUAUAUGCUAGAGCUGCUGCUGUUAAAUUCUAAUUGUGUUUCAUUUUAGGAUUGAGCUGGAGCUCAUAGGGGUGGUGAUGAUUCUGGAUGCCUGCCUCUGUGCCAGUCUGGUCAGGACAUCAGUCUAGGUCAUGACAAGGAAGGCCUGGGGUCCCAGGAACCAGUUGGGACAGCAGAAUGAAGAUCAAGAAGAUUGGCCCAUGCAAUCUCAGAAGAUGCUGAGCAGGUUUUCAAUGAUUUCACGAAAGUUAAUAUAAAAGCAGACUUCUGCAGGCAUUCCAUUCUGAAGAGAAUGAGGAAAUGGUGGUGCUACCUAUCAUCUUGCUGCCAGGUGCAGCUUCCUGUCCUCCUGCAGUUGCUUCUGGGAUCUGAACCCUUAGACAUAGUCUGCAGACCCGCUGAGGUCCAUGGACCAGAGAUUGAAAGCCACUGCUGUUGUUAGUUGUUCCAGUUUGUUGAGGGAAAAGGACAUUAUUAUCUGUUAGCAAGUUAUAAUUGAUGUAAAGCUGAAUUGUUAUCAGCCUACGUUCUGUAAAUUCCCCUUACGAUUCCCCCUUCCUGAAUGAAUGCAUGGUGUGUGGGAAAGAGACAUGGAGUGGGUGAUGAACUUUUACUCACCUGAACUUGAGUGCACACAGCCCAGAGAGGACAGUGAGGAAGGCCUAUAGACCCAGAAGCUGCACAUGGCCUGUAACAUCAUUGAUUCAACAAAGAGAGAGAGAACCUGAAAGAGGAUCACCAAGCAGGACCUCCCGGGGAUGCCCUCUGCUUGGAUUGCCCAACCAGCGAACCGGUUCCAGAUACCAACAGCAUGAACCUCAUCAUGAACUCCUUCUGGUGCCUGGUGCUCAGCCUGCAUUUCAUAGGACUGUAAGUGUGAUUGCAGAUAGUGAGAGUGAGUUUUCCCCUUUCCCCUCCUUCCAGAGUUGAUUAAAGCAAUUAAAGCCAUUUGUACUCAUUACCUGGUGGUCCCAAUCCUUGUUAGGCCAAGGUUAAUUGCACACUUGCAACACAGUUCGGUUGUGAAGCUUCAGGGGGUAGCUGAGUUAGUCUGUUACAGAAAAAAAAAACAAAUGGUCUGGUAGCACUUGAUAGACUAACAAAACAUGUAGAUGGUAUCAUAAGCUUUUGUGGGCACAGCCCAUCUCUGUUCAUGCUUAGAGCUGCGUCUUCAAUGGAGUAGAAUUCAAUGAAUCUGGGUCUAUGCUUUCACUGAUUGCUAGCUAUCAGUGGGUUUUGAAUAAGCCCCAAACACCUAAAGAUGAUAAAUCUCUGAAACUCAUAACACAGAAACAUGAGUUUUUGUCUGUGUAGCCACUAGACUUCACUGGACAACAUGAAAUUAGAAAGAAAUAAAAUGUGAAAUACAGAGACCUGAAAUAAUCUUGAACAGAAGACUAAAUCAUGAUGGUAAAGAGUGUAACGGGGAGCUGGCUGCAGUCAGUGUAGCUAUGGAGAGAGCUGUAGCAUCUGAAGGCCUCAGAUUUUGCUUUCAGUGCUCAAGAUUUUAAGAGAUUCAUUCAGAUGGAUUCUGGAUUAUAAUAAGAAAAAGAUAGGAGGAAUCAAAUCUGAGAGAUGAGUGAGGAAACGUGGUCAGGUCUUGUUUCUCUGAAGCCUGCCCCAAACUAGUGCUGUCAGUCUCUUUUCUGGAGACUGCUAUGCUUGUUCUUAACGUCAACACAAAUUGUUUUUUAUGACAAGAAAGUUUAAAGCCUCAGAACAUGAUUUGUUUUAUGUGACAUGGUGCAGCUAACCAUCAAAUGAUACCUUUCCAUCUAUGUUUUAAAUCCAACCCUUCUAACUGACAUGCUGAAUGACACACAUGGAUGCAACCUCUGUCAACUGACCUCAAUACACUUCCCACAGUGUGUGAGGUUACAGAAUUUCUGAUAAGCACGUCUAAAAAUUAUGAGACAACAUAAUAAGACUACAAAAUUGAAUCUUCAAUUACCCAAACAUGGGGCUGCUAAUAAAAUUUGCCCACUAAUUUAUUUUUUAUUUUUUCACAGGCUAAAAAUAAGCUUGAUUAAUGAAGAAUUUUUGGAAUCUUCAGAAGGCUUUUACUAUACAACCUUGUUUUCUAGCAGAAGGAAACCAGCUGUAGUAAGUCUUCAACACUGUGCAUAUAAAGAAAACAACAAAUGAACAUUUUUGUUUAAUUAUGCUAUUUAUUUUUUGACUUGUCAUUUAACAGUGGAAAAGGCUACAGGUGAAAAGUCAGGAGAAAAUGAAAUAUCUUAUAUGGCAAGUUUCUUGCUCUUUUGUUUGAACUUCUUAACUUUAACAGGUUUUGAUUUGAAAUGGUGUUUUGAUGUCAAA